Long non-coding RNA from Vespula pensylvanica (western yellowjacket), 549 nucleotides. RefSeq lists it as uncharacterized. Lineage: Eukaryota; Metazoa; Arthropoda; Insecta; Hymenoptera; Vespidae. The record is from RefSeq and is a predicted model, not a curated record. The transcript is spliced from 3 exons.
CGAGCGAUACACGACGUUAUCGUAUUAAUAGCCAACGCCAUACGGCCCGCUCGUAUCCAACAUUUUUCUAUUCGAUCGUGUAGGGUCGAGGAAGAUCAACGAGAGGAAGGACGAACAAGGGGGGAGAAGAAGUGGAAGAAGCAGGUGACGGCCCGAGCAACAAGUGCGCGUACGAACGAAAGAUUUAUAAAUAACGCCGGACCGUUGUGUGCGACAAACGCGUCUAUCUGCGUCUAACGAUACGAUUCAUUAUCGCUUUAUUGCCGUGCAAGCGAUAUUACGCACGCACGAUAUCUUUGUAUAGGAACUCGUGAGCGAGUUGGUCAAGAUUAAUCGCGAUAUAAAUUGAAACUGGAUCCUGUCAAGGCGCUUUGCGUUUACGACGAUGACGACCACGCGCGUGAUUACGUAAGCCACGAUUACGUUCUCUUCGAUGCGAUACCUACCAUCGUGAAGAGGUUUCGACGAACUGUUCACGAGAUUCAUGAACGCGUUAAGCCCGUCCUCCUCGUUAAUAUUUUCGAGCGUUGGCGUCGUUAUCAUUUCCAG